CCUAAGUAUUCUGUCUCUAUCCUUGUAAUUGUCAUGCCUCUAUUUCCUUCCCACAGGUGCCCUUUACAGAUGUCUGUAUAGCUCGGCACUAUCUGGGCCCUGGGAGGACAGUGUGAGCCCCACCCAGGUAUACCUAAAAUGUGUGGUCCUAGGACUGGAAUGCCCCCAGCUGGAGGAAAGAGGGGGGUUGUCUGUGGGAAAGACCAGGAAGAAGAAACC
RNAcentral lists this long non-coding RNA (219 nucleotides) under Vombatus ursinus (common wombat). RNAcentral describes it as "lncRNA (ENSVURG00010007955.1)". Lineage: Eukaryota; Metazoa; Chordata; Mammalia; Diprotodontia; Vombatidae. The record is from RNAcentral.